CGGCGUGCCUAAUACAUGCAAGUCGAGCGGACAGAUGGGAGCUUGCUCCCUGAUGUUAGCGGCGGACGGGUGAGUAACACGUGGGUAACCUGCCUGUAAGACUGGGAUAACUCCGGGAAACCGGGGCUAAUACCGGAUGGUUGUUUGAACCGCAUGGUUCAGACAUAAAAGGUGGCUUCGGCUACCACUUACAGAUGGACCCGCGGCGCAUUAGCUAGUUGGUGAGGUAACGGCUCACCAAGGCGACGAUGCGUAGCCGACCUGAGAGGGUGAUCGGCCACACUGGGACUGAGACACGGCCCAGACUCCUACGGGAGGCAGCAGUAGGGAAUCUUCCGCAAUGGACGAAAGUCUGACGGAGCAACGCCGCGUGAGUGAUGAAGGUUUUCGGAUCGUAAAGCUCUGUUGUUAGGGAAGAACAAGUGCCGUUCAAAUAGGGCGGCACCUUGACGGUACCUAACCAGAAAGCCACGGCUAACUACGUGCCAGCAGCCGCGGUAAUACGUAGGUGGCAAGCGUUGUCCGGAAUUAUUGGGCGUAAAGGGCUCGCAGGCGGUUUCUUAAGUCUGAUGUGAAAGCCCCCGGCUCAACCGGGGAGGGUCAUUGGAAACUGGGGAACUUGAGUGCAGAAGAGGAGAGUGGAAUUCCACGUGUAGCGGUGAAAUGCGUAGAGAUGUGGAGGAACACCAGUGGCGAAGGCGACUCUCUGGUCUGUAACUGACGCUGAGGAGCGAAAGCGUGGGGAGCGAACAGGAUUAGAUACCCUGGUAGUCCACGCCGUAAACGAUGAGUGCUAAGUGUUAGGGGGUUUCCGCCCCUUAGUGCUGCAGCUAACGCAUUAAGCACUCCGCCUGGGGAGUACGGUCGCAAGACUGAAACUCAAAGGAAUUGACGGGGGCCCGCACAAGCGGUGGAGCAUGUGGUUUAAUUCGAAGCAACGCGAAGAACCUUACCAGGUCUUGACAUCCUCUGACAAUCCUAGAGAUAGGACGUCCCCUUCGGGGGCAGAGUGACAGGUGGUGCAUGGUUGUCGUCAGCUCGUGUCGUGAGAUGUUGGGUUAAGUCCCGCAACGAGCGCAACCCUUGAUCUUAGUUGCCAGCAUUCAGUUGGGCACUCUAAGGUGACUGCCGGUGACAAACCGGAGGAAGGUGGGGAUGACGUCAAAUCAUCAUGCCCCUUAUGACCUGGGCUACACACGUGCUACAAUGGACAGAACAAAGGGCAGCGAAACCGCGAGG
This 1239-nucleotide ribosomal RNA is filed under the name Bacillus amyloliquefaciens. RNAcentral describes it as "bacterial SSU rRNA". It matches the Rfam family "Bacterial small subunit ribosomal RNA", at positions 40 to 1262 of the family's 1533-position model. Lineage: Bacteria; Bacillati; Bacillota; Bacilli; Caryophanales; Bacillaceae. The record is from RNAcentral.